CCUACGGGGGGCUGCAGUGGGGAAUCUUAGACAAUGGGCGCAAGCCUGAUCUAGCCAUGCCGCGUGAGCGAUGAAGGCCUUAGGGUUGUAAAGCUCUUUCGUGGGGGAAGAUAAUGACGGUACCCCAAGAAGAAGCCCCGGCUAACUCCGUGCCAGCAGCCGCGGUAAUACGGAGGGGGCUAGCGUUGUUCGGAAUUACUGGGCGUAAAGCGCACGUAGGCGGAUCGGAUAGUCAGGGGUGAAAUCCCGGGGCUCAACCCCGGAACUGCCUUUGA
This 275-nucleotide ribosomal RNA is filed under the name uncultured Rhodobacter sp. Its description in RNAcentral is "partial 16S ribosomal RNA". It matches the Rfam family "Bacterial small subunit ribosomal RNA", at positions 338 to 630 of the family's 1533-position model. Lineage: Bacteria; Pseudomonadati; Pseudomonadota; Alphaproteobacteria; Rhodobacterales. The record is from RNAcentral.